This 253-nucleotide ribosomal RNA is filed under the name uncultured bacterium. Its description in RNAcentral is "partial 16S ribosomal RNA". It matches the Rfam family "Bacterial small subunit ribosomal RNA", at positions 524 to 776 of the family's 1533-position model. The record is from RNAcentral.
UACGUAGGGGGCAAGCGUUGUCCGGAUUUAUUGGGCGUAAAGAGCGUGUAGGCGGCUUUACAGGUCCGUUGUGAAAACUCGAGGCUCAACCUCGAGACGCCGGUGGAAACCGUAAGGCUAGAGUCCGGAAGAGGCGAGUGGAAUUCCUGGUGUAGCGGUGAAAUGCGCAGAUAUCGGGAGGAACACCUAUGGCGAAGGCAGCUCGCUGGGACGUUACUGACGCUGAGACGCGAAAGCGUGGGGAGCAAACAGG